GAUGAACGCUGGCGGCGUGCUUAACACAUGCAAGUCGAACGGAAAGGCCCAAGCUUGCUUGGGUACUCGAGUGGCGAACGGGUGAGUAACACGUGGGUGAUCUGCCCUGCACUUCGGGAUAAGCCUGGGAAACUGGGUCUAAUACCGGAUAGGACCACAUUUUGGAUGGUGUGGUGGAAAGUUUUUCGGUGUGGGAUGAGCUCGCGGCCUAUCAGCUUGUUGGUGGGGUAAUGGCCUACCAAGGCGUCGACGGGUAGCCGGCCUGAGAGGGUGUACGGCCACAUUGGGAAUGAGAGACGGCCCAGACUCCUACGGGAGGCAGCAGUGGGGAAUAUUGCACAAUGGGCGCAAGCCUGAUGCAGCGACGCCGCGUGGGGGAUGACGGCCUUCGGGUUGUAAACUCCUUUCGCUAGGGACGAAGCGUUAUGUGACGGUACCUGGAGAAGAAGCACCGGCUAACUACGUG
RNAcentral lists this ribosomal RNA (466 nucleotides) under uncultured bacterium. RNAcentral's name for it is "partial 16S ribosomal RNA". It matches the Rfam family "Bacterial small subunit ribosomal RNA", at positions 28 to 507 of the family's 1533-position model. The record is from RNAcentral.